UGUGCCCUGACUGGAAUUGAACCGUGACCUCCUGGUUCAUAGGUUGACACUCAACCACUGAGCCACAUGAGCCAGGUUCAACUUGUGGUUAUCAAUAUCUUGCACUGCCCCCUCUGGGGGCCUUCUCGGGGGAAACCGAAAUGGCCUGCACUGGUCCAGAAGGACACACAGACACUAAGCAGAACCCUGGGACGCAGACAGUCAUCUGAACCUGACCCAUAACUGCAGGGAACAAGCCAGAUAAGAAAAUGACA
Molecule: long non-coding RNA, 254 nt
Organism: Myotis brandtii (Brandt's bat)
Lineage: Eukaryota; Metazoa; Chordata; Mammalia; Chiroptera; Vespertilionidae
Exons: 2
Source: RefSeq, a predicted model, not a curated record